CUUUAAUGUUAGCUUUAUUAAUGCUCUUUGCAAUUUUAUUGUGGGUUUUUUUAUUAGAGCUGGGCGAUAUCAAAAUUUGUCCAAUGAUAUAUCGCUCAAAGUGACAUAUCAUGAUAUUACUAUUUAUCACUUGAGUACAUGUACAUGUACACGUUGAAUUAUUAUCAUAUUAAAUUUUUAGCAAAAACUAUCAAAGAUUUUUAGCCAAAAAUACCAUUGUAUUAACUUUGUCUGGUUUUAAACAAGUUCGUCUUGAAGACAUGAGAUUGCCAGAUGUACUGAAAACUCUCUCGGAGGGAGAGCUGGUUGCACAGCAACAUAAAUACUUCCUUGCUAAUGUGCUUAAUGCCGGGAAAGUUUUGUUGUAAGACUUCCACCACUCUAAUGGAUUUAACUCUGAAUCUAGUAGAGGAUAUUGAAUGUAUCUAUCUAUUUAAUUUUGGAUCUUCUCUUCGAGGGUUAAGGAAGUUUGGUUUAAAGUGUAAGUGCAGUGAUUUUUUAGGGUAUUUAGAGUUUCUUAGGCAAAAGUGGAUCAGUGGAAGAGGAAGUUGAAGUGGUAGUAGCCACAUCUUCAGUGUCAUCUGGUUUCUCAGGUAUUUUCUUGAUAUUCACCUUGUCUGAUUCAGCUACAUGUAUAUACAUGUAUUCCAUUUUAAAUCUUUAAUCGAGAUAUGAUGCUGAGUUAAGAAAUAGAAGGGUAUCUUAAUCACUGUACUUGCUUUCAAAGUAAGAUUUCACUGCUCUUUUAAAAUCUUUGGUAAGUUGUGUGUCGGAUUCUUUUUGUAGAAGUGUGUCGGAGUACAAAUGAUGAAGUAGUGGAACUACAGCAGAUAUGGUCACGUGCUUUUCACCAGAUGGAAUGUCAGUAAAAGCAUAUAGUGGACCUAGGGCAGACCUCAUGGACUCCAGAAAUUUUAUAUCUUGCCAUGAUGGGAUGAGAUGAACAGAUUUGCGGUCAGUACUACAUGUGUAAGUACUUUUCGAAUAGUGCUUUCCUGUUCAAGUAUGCGCUCUAUUAUCUUGACUUUUGAGCCCAUCUGGUUGGACAAUCCUAAAUAAUAGUGUAAUAACAUGAAUGAACCAUUACAUGAUUAUAUCCUUACUGUGAUAAGAGAGUGCUUGGGUAGUUUUAGCUCCCCUUGCAUUAUUGCUACAUCUCUUCUUUUGUUCCAACUGUGAGAAAAAUAAGAUACUAUCUUGUUGCAUAUACCAACUACCUUUGUAACACGAUCAUCACCUUUCACAGAGUUGGUUACAGCGAGGUGGAGAUUAUGGCCAAAACAUGAUAUUCGAUUCCAACCCAAAAUGUCAGAAGCUAAUAUCAUAUUGGAUCCAUUAUCUGUAGUAAUACAGACUAAGCUACUGUUAUUGAGUUCCCAUUGCUGCAUUGCCUGUGUUAACGCUUCUGAGAUGUUAGACCCAGUGUGAUCCUCUCGCUUGAACAUAGUCUGAAGACAUCUAGACUUGUGCUCCCAUUCUUCAUUGAUGAAGUGUACUGUGAGACUGAUAGAGGGUUCCAUAGUAUAGCUACUCCAAAGGUCAGUUGUAGCAGCAUAAUUAUAUAUGUGUUUGAAUUGAGAGGCAACAGAAUUAAUGUCAAACACGCGAGUAUAACUGAGGAAUUGCUGUCUGUGUAAAGUAUUUUCGCCCUGGUAAGUCAUACUUGGAGUCAAGAACUUCCAUCAUGUGUCUAAAGCCAUCUUUCUCAACUGAAUAGACAGGUAACAUGUCCUUAGCUAAGUAGUAUGUGACAGCAUUAGACUAACAGCUUGCCAUCUUUUACUAUUACAUGGAUAUUUGUAAAGUUUAGAUUUAGUUGCUUGCUUGAUGACUGGUGACUAUUGGAAGUCUUGGUCUUACCCUCAUUAACUUUAACAAACUCUUUGGGGUGAUGAUAUCGAAGCUUAUAGGUUUGCUAACUUUCUUCUCCCAGCAUAUUUGGCACUUGGGAUUUUCUUGAUCUUUUCCAGCAUCCUUCACAAACCCAAAUUUUCCAGUAUCCUUCACAAACCCAAAGUAGAUCCAUAUUUGUGAUUUGGUAUUACUUUUAGACACUAGUUCUUGUUGUUGCUCUUCAAUUUCCAGCUGUUCACUUGCUUUUUUUAGCCAUUUUGUUUUUGUGUGACCAUUAGUGAUGUGCGAUUCCGAUACCAAAAUUCUCGAUUCUUCGAUUCCUAGGCAGUAUCAAAUUGGUAUCAAAGAUUUCCAGUACCGAAAAUAUCGAUUCUGAGUACAACCACACCCACUUAACUACAAUAAUGUUUAAUAAACUACUAGUUAAUUACAAACUAAAAAUGUAAAAAUAAUUUUUAUUGUUAAAA
Long non-coding RNA from Amphimedon queenslandica, 2321 nucleotides. RefSeq lists it as uncharacterized. Lineage: Eukaryota; Metazoa; Porifera; Demospongiae; Haplosclerida; Niphatidae. The record is from RefSeq and is a predicted model, not a curated record. The transcript has 3 exons.